RNAcentral lists this unclassified non-coding RNA (522 nucleotides) under Hevea brasiliensis (rubber tree). Lineage: Eukaryota; Viridiplantae; Streptophyta; Magnoliopsida; Malpighiales; Euphorbiaceae. The record is from RNAcentral.
AGGCAAUGCUCAAAUUUAAGAAUUAAUUAAUUAAAAAUAAAAACCAUUGUUAAUGUUUCUGCAUCUUAAAUAAAUACGUCGCUCUCGAAUCUCUUUCUCGCUUCAACAGACACAGGGCAAAAUCCACUUUCAAUUUCGAUUCUCUGUUCAAAUGUGGAGUCUUCGUCUACAUACGUACUUCGUAGAGUUCCUUUUGCAGCCCUAAAACUGACAUCUGUUGCCUUGAGCGCACAAACACACAGAGAUUCCGCCACCUCUUCAAUGUCUUCUACCUUCAGUCCUUCCCGGAACAGCCACGGCAGUUCCCGGCUGCAGCUGCACCAGCUCGCCGCUUUUGGUAGCGCUUCUCGCCUGAGAUCAUCUUCUCUCAAGAAGCCUCCCGAGCCCCUCCGCCAUGCUAUCGCUGAUUGCCUCUCAUCCGCUGCUGCUUCUGCCGUCGCCAUCUCUCACCAUGCGAAUCCCUCCGUCGCUGUCACUGAAGCUUCGAGAACUCUUCGCGAUUAUCUUGCAUCACCUGCAACA